UGUUGGUUCUCCCGCAACGCUACUCUGUUUACGGUCAGGUCGGAAGGAAGCAGCCAAGGCAGAUGACGCGUGUGCCGGGAUGUAACUGGCGGGG
Molecule: signal recognition particle RNA, 94 nt
Filed under: Salmonella enterica subsp. enterica serovar Weltevreden
Lineage: Bacteria; Pseudomonadati; Pseudomonadota; Gammaproteobacteria; Enterobacterales; Enterobacteriaceae
Description: signal recognition particle sRNA small type
Rfam family: Bacterial small signal recognition particle RNA
About the family: The signal recognition particle (SRP) is a universally conserved ribonucleoprotein involved in the co-translational targeting of proteins to membranes. Archaeal SRP consists of a 7S RNA and homologues of the eukaryotic SRP19 and SRP54 proteins.
Source: RNAcentral